AGUGAACGCUGGCGGCGUGCCUAAUACAUGCAAGUCGAACGAACGAAUAAGAGCUUGCUCUUAUAAGUUAGUGGCGCACGGGUGAGUAAUAUAUAGCUAAUCUGCCUCUUAGUAGAGGAUAACAGUCGGAAACGAUUGCUAAUACCCUAUACUUCCGCUUUACAUAUGUAAAGUAGAGAAAGUUUUUCGCUAAGAGAUGAGGCUAUACUGUAUCAGCUAGUUGGUAAGGUAACGGCUUACCAAGGCUAUGACGCAUAACUGGUCUGAGAGGAUGAUCAGUCUCGUUGGAAGUGAGACACCGGACAAACUCCGACGGGAGGCAGCAGUAAGGAAUAUUGCGGAAUGGGAGAAACCCUGACGAAGCAACGCCGCGUGGAGGAUGACACUUUUCGGAGCGUAAACUCCUUUUAUCGGGAAAGAAUAAUGACGGUACCCGAUGAAUAAGCACCGGCUAACUCCGUG
Molecule: ribosomal RNA, 462 nt
Filed under: uncultured bacterium
Lineage: Bacteria
Description: partial 16S ribosomal RNA
Rfam family: Bacterial small subunit ribosomal RNA
Source: RNAcentral